Long non-coding RNA from Symsagittifera roscoffensis, 380 nucleotides. RefSeq lists it as uncharacterized. Lineage: Eukaryota; Metazoa; Xenacoelomorpha; Acoela; Convolutidae. The record is from RefSeq and is a predicted model, not a curated record. The transcript has 3 exons.
AUUCAUUUUUGGUCACCUGUUUGAAACAUUCCUCCAUUUGAUUCUAAAAUAAGUUUGCUCAAAAUGAAUUCAACUGAUAUCACUGAGAUGGAGUUUUUUGAACAGUGGCUGCUUCCUCUGGACCAAAUACAAGACGGUCGGCUGAUUCGAAUCCGGGUGGUAAUGAUGGUGUGGCUCGUCAUUGCAAUCGCGAUCGGGGUGCCCGGAAACAUCUUAGUGAUCUCAGCCAUCGCUCUGGUGAAACACCUUCGCCAAGUACCACACAUGUUCCUCAUCAACCUCGCAGUGUGUGACCUUGGGGUCAUGAUCAUGGACGCAUUUGUACUCAGUGGGGUAUUCUAUGGAAACACCUUCCUCCCCAAGUACCCAAUGUUAUGUGA